Molecule: ribosomal RNA, 468 nt
Filed under: uncultured bacterium
Lineage: Bacteria
Description: partial 16S ribosomal RNA
Rfam family: Bacterial small subunit ribosomal RNA
Source: RNAcentral
GACGAACGCUGGCGGCGUGCUUAACACAUGCAAGUCGAACGGAAAGGCCCUGCUUUUGUGGGGUGCUCGAGUGGCGAACGGGUGAGUAACACGUGAGUAACCUGCCCUUGACUUUGGGAUAACUUCAGGAAACUGGGGCUAAUACCGGAUAGGAGCUCCUGCUGCAUGGUGGGGGUUGGAAAGUUUCGGCGGGUGGGGAUGGACUCGCGGCUUAUCAGCUUGUUGGUGGGGUAGUGGCUUACCAAGGCUUUGACGGGUAGCCGGCCUGAGAGGGUGACCGGCGACAUUGGGACUGAGAGACGGCCCAGACUCGUACGGGAGGCAGCAGUGGGGAAUAUUGCACAAUGGGCGGAAGCCUGAUGCAGCAACGCCGCGUGCGGGAUGACGGCCUUCGGGUUGUAAACCGCUUUCGCCUGUGACGAAGCGUGAGUGACGGUAAUGGGUAAAAAAGCACCGGCUAACUACGUG